GAUGAACGCUGGCGGCGUGCCUAAUACAUGCAAGUCGAGCGAACAGACGAGGAUCUUGCUCCUCUGACGUUAGCGGCGGACGGGUGAGUAACACGUGGAUAACCUACCUAUAAGACUGGGAUAACUUCGGGAAACCGGAUCUAAUACCGGAUAAUAUAUUGAAGCGCAUGGGUCAAUAGUGAAAUACGGUUUUUCUGUCACUUAUAGAUGGAUCCGGGCCGGUUUAGAUGGUUGUUAAGGUAACGGCUUACCAAGGCGACGAUGCGUAGACGAAGUGCGGGGCGGGUCGGCGACCUGGGAACUGGGACAGGGUCCAGGCGCCUGCGGGAGGCAGCAGUCGGCAAUCUUACGCAACGGGCGAGAGCCUGGCGGAGUAACGCGGAGCGAGUGGUGAAGGUCUUCGGAUCGUAAAGAUCUGUUACUGGGGAAGAACAAAUGUGUAAGUAAACAUAGACGUCUUGACGGUACCUAAUCAGAAAGCACCGGCUAACUACGUG
RNAcentral lists this ribosomal RNA (497 nucleotides) under uncultured bacterium. RNAcentral's name for it is "partial 16S ribosomal RNA". It matches the Rfam family "Bacterial small subunit ribosomal RNA", at positions 28 to 507 of the family's 1533-position model. The record is from RNAcentral.